CUCAGAUCAUGCUUGGGUGCCCAGGCUCCUGUGCUUAAUCUUUCUUAACUGGAUCAUCAGUGCUUGGGAAAUGGGCAGGAUAACAAUUUAAAGAGAUAAUUGACUGCACAAAUCAGCUCAUCCCUUCAAGGGAUAAAUUUUCUCACACUUUCUGGUUCUGUAAUAGGUCAGGGCUGUUGGAGACAGAGCUGGCUUUUUCCCUGAUGUCCAGGGUCCUGAAAUGAAGUAUGGCUGGGCCACUUGACUGGGAGUGCAGUUACAGAAGCCAAUGCUGGUGCUGCAGAGAGCGCAAUGCCCAAAGUGGGUGCAUCUCUGAUGGUGUAAAGGAUGAAGAACAAGCUCUGAGGAAGGUUAGAGGCAAGAAGAAUGGAAGAGAGGAAGAGAAGAAGAGAACAUGAGACAAAAGAGCCAGCCUGGGGUGCUAAGGAGCUGCCAAAAGACUCAAAGUAGCAGAAUGGGUGGGCAGGCCCUCACUGCCUGAGCCAAGCCAGCACCUGUUCACACCCACAGACUCAGACUCUAUGGCCAAGAGCACUGAAUCCAUGUUUUUGGCCUUCCACUAAUCAGACUGGUUUUUAUCACAGGCCCAUAUGGAGAUGGAGCAACUUGCAUCAUCCUGGUCAUAUAAAAGAAAUCAAGGGCUGAUUGUCCUUGCCAACCGUCUCCCUGUACUCAGCCCGUCGGAGGAAUGACAUUACAUAAAUCCUCAAACAUAAAGAGGCAUAAGGACGGCACACAUCUUGCCUUGGCAUCCCACAUAUCUAAUCUAAACAUUCUCUGUUCUCACCAGGACAUCCCAACACAUUACCUAACCACACCCCACCCCUCCUGCACCAAAACAUUUUUUUAUAAUAGUUGUCAUUAUCAUUAUUGUCAUCAUCAUUACCAUAAUUAUCAUCAUUGUAGAGACUGUCUGAGUUCACCAUUUCAACUCCAAGGACAUUUUGAUUCUGUAUUUAUACAUGCAAAGUUUUAAUUGAAAUUAUACAUGCAAAGUUUUAAUUGAAAUUUAUCUGCAUUGAUAAACUCUCAUUGACAAUCUAUUCUCCAAAGAGAAUUCUCUUUAGCCAAUUUAAUUUUUGAUCAAUCUUUUAAAAUAUAGAACAGUUAAAUUGUUUCCAUUUUUUCCCAUUUCUAAUUUAAUGUUAUUGAAACUUUCCUCAG
Molecule: long non-coding RNA, 1164 nt
Filed under: Homo sapiens (human)
Lineage: Eukaryota; Metazoa; Chordata; Mammalia; Primates; Hominidae
Description: PREDICTED lncRNA (TCONS_00154287)
Source: RNAcentral